Molecule: transfer RNA, 71 nt
Filed under: Margarites vorticiferus
Lineage: Eukaryota; Metazoa; Mollusca; Gastropoda; Trochida; Margaritidae
Description: tRNA-Thr
Source: RNAcentral
CAAUGAAAGCAGAACUAAAUACGCGUCGGUCUUGUAAAUCGAAGGAUGGAGGGUUACCCUCCUCAUUGCAG